UACACUCCUGCGGGAGGCAGCAGUGGGGAAUUUUGGACAAUGGGCGAAAGCCUGAUCCAGCAAUGCCGCGUGAGUGAAGAAGGCCUUCGGGUUGUAAAGCUCUUUUGUCAGGGAAGAAACGGUGAGAGCUAAUAUCUCUUGCUAAUGACGGUACCUGAAGAAUAAGCACCGGCUAACUACGUGCCAGCAGCCGCGGUAAUACGUAGGGUGCAAGCGUUAAUCGGAAUUACUGGGCGUAAAGCGUGCGCAGGCGGUUUUGUAAGUCUGAUGUGAAAUCCCCGGGCUCAACCUGGGAAUUGCAUUGGAGACUGCAAGGCUAGAAUCUGGCAGAGGGGGGUAGAAUUCCACGUGUAGCAGUGAAAUGCGUAGAUAUGUGGAGGAACACCGAUGGCGAAGGCAGCCCCCUGGGUCAAGAUUGACGCUCAUGCACGAAAGCGUGAGGAGCAAACAGGAUUAGAUACCCCGGUAGUCCCAU
This 475-nucleotide ribosomal RNA is filed under the name uncultured organism. RNAcentral's name for it is "partial 16S ribosomal RNA". It matches the Rfam family "Bacterial small subunit ribosomal RNA", at positions 332 to 798 of the family's 1533-position model. The record is from RNAcentral.